GAUGAACGCUGGCGGCGUGCUUAACACAUGCAAGUCGAACGGAGUCUGCAUGAAACCUAGUGAUUGUAGACUUAGUGGCGGACGGGUGAGUAACGCGUGGGUAACCUGCCUUGUACUGGGGGACAACAGUUGGAAACGACUGCUAAUACCGCAUAAGCGCACAGCUUCGCAUGAAGCAGUGUGAAAAACUGAGGUGGUACAAGAUGACCCGCGUCUGAUUAGCUGGUUGGUGAGGUAUCGGCUCACCAAGGCGACGAUCAGUAGCCGGCCUGAGAGGGUGAACGGCCACAUUGGGACUGAGACACGGCCCAAACUCCUACGGGAGGCAGCAGUGGGGAAUAUUGCACAAUGGGGGAAACCCUGAUGCAGCGACGCCGCGUGAGUGAAGAAGUAUUUCGGUAUGUAAAGCUCUAUCAGCAGGGAAGAAAGAAAUGACGGUACCUGACUAAGUAGCCCCGGCUAACUAC
This 467-nucleotide ribosomal RNA is filed under the name uncultured bacterium. Its description in RNAcentral is "bacterial SSU rRNA". It matches the Rfam family "Bacterial small subunit ribosomal RNA", at positions 28 to 504 of the family's 1533-position model. The record is from RNAcentral.